RNAcentral lists this ribosomal RNA (403 nucleotides) under bacterium. RNAcentral's name for it is "partial 16S ribosomal RNA". It matches the Rfam family "Bacterial small subunit ribosomal RNA", at positions 355 to 776 of the family's 1533-position model. The record is from RNAcentral.
UGGGGAAUAUUGCACAAUGGGGGAAACCCUGAUGCAGCGACGCCGCGUGAACGAAGAAGGUAUUCGUAUCGUAAAGUUCUGUCCUAUGGGAAGAUAAUGACAGUACCAUAGAAGAAAGCUCCGGCUAAAUACGUGCCAGCAGCCGCGGUAAUACGUAUGGAGCGAGCGUUGUCCGGAAUUAUUGGGCGUAAAGGGUACGCAGGCGGUUUAAGAAGUCGAAUGUUAAAGAUCGGGGCUCAACCCCGUAAAGCAUUGGAAACUGAUAAACUUGAGUAGUGGAGAGGAAAGUGGAAUUCCUAGUGUAGUGGUGAAAUACGUAGAUAUUAGGAGGAAUACCAGUAGCGAAGGCGACUUUCUGGACACAAACUGACGCUGAGGUACGAAAGCGUGGGGAGCAAACAGG